Molecule: ribosomal RNA, 115 nt
Filed under: Epigonus sp. CBM:ZF:14782
Lineage: Eukaryota; Metazoa; Chordata; Actinopteri; Acropomatiformes; Epigonidae
Description: partial 16S rRNA
Source: RNAcentral
CGCCAAACAGCUAGCCCCUUCAACCAAAAAUAACAAACCCCUAUAAAUACCCCCAAAGACACUACACCCGUAAAAAACAAACCAUUUUUCCCCCUUAGUAUGGGCGACAGAAAAG